This 545-nucleotide ribosomal RNA is filed under the name uncultured Chlorophyta. RNAcentral describes it as "SSU rRNA". It matches the Rfam family "Eukaryotic small subunit ribosomal RNA", at positions 606 to 1163 of the family's 1831-position model. The record is from RNAcentral. Lineage: Eukaryota; Viridiplantae; Chlorophyta.
UAAGUUGUUGCAGUUAAAAAGCUCGUAGUUGGAUUUCGGUUGAGAACGGCCGGUCCGCCGUUUGGUGUGCACUGGCUGGUUUCAACUUCCUGUAGAGGACGCGCUCUGGCUUCACGGCUGGACGCAGAGUCUACGUGGUUACUUUGAAAAAAUUAGAGUGUUCAAAGCGGGCUUACGCUUGAAUAUUUCAGCAUGGAAUAACACUAUAGGACUCCUGUCCUAUUUCGUUGGUCUCGGGACGGGAGUAAUGAUUAAGAGGGACAGUUGGGGGCACUCGUAUUUCAUUGUCAGAGGUGAAAUUCUUGGAUUUAUGAAAGACGAACUUCUGCGAAAGCAUUUGCCAAGGAUGUUUUCAUUAAUCAAGAACGAAAGUUGGGGGCUCGAAGAUGAUUAGAUACCAUCCUAGUCUCAACCAUAAACGAUGCCGACUAGGGAUUGCAGGAUGUUAAUUGAUGACUCCUGCAGCACCUUAUGAGAAAUCAAAGUUUUUGGGUUCCGGGGGGAGUAUGGUCGCAAGGCUGAAACUUAAAGGAAUUGACGGAAGG